This 256-nucleotide ribosomal RNA is filed under the name uncultured Pseudomonas sp. RNAcentral describes it as "partial 16S ribosomal RNA". It matches the Rfam family "Bacterial small subunit ribosomal RNA", at positions 1128 to 1382 of the family's 1533-position model. Lineage: Bacteria; Pseudomonadati; Pseudomonadota; Gammaproteobacteria; Pseudomonadales; Pseudomonadaceae. The record is from RNAcentral.
UGGUGGGGCACUCUAAGGAGACUGCCGGUGACAAACCGGAGGAAGGUGGGGAUGACGUCAAGUCAUCAUGGCCCUUACGGCCUGGGCUACACACGUGCUACAAUGGUCGGUACAGAGGGUUGCCAAGCCGCGAGGUGGAGCUAAUCCCAAGAAAACCGAUCGUAGUCCGGAUCGCAGUCUGCAACUCGACUGCGUGAAGUCGGAAUCGCUAGUAAUCGUGAAUCAGAAUGUCACGGUGAAUACGUUCCCGGGCCUU